CUUCUGGACAGUACUGACGCUGAGAUGCGAAAGCGUGGGGAGCAAACAGGAUUAGAUACCCUGGUAGUCACGCUGUAAACGAUGUCGAUUUGGAGUUUGUUGCCUAGAGUGAUGGGCUCCGAAGCUAACGCGAUAAAUCGACCGCUGGGGAGUACGGCCGCAAGGUUAAAACUCAAAUGAAUUAACGGGGGCCCGCACAAGCGGUGGAGCAUGUGGUUUAAUUCGAUGCAACGCGAAGAACCUUACCUGGUCUUGACAUCCAUAGAAUUCUGCAGAGAUGUGGGAGUGCCUUCGGGAACUAUGAGACAGGUGCUGCAUGGCUGUCGUCAGCUCGUGUUGUGAAAUGUUGGGUUAAGUCCCGCAACGAGCGCAACCCUUAUUCUUUGUUGCCAGCGAUUUGGUCGGGAACUCAAAGGAGACUGCCGUUGAUAAAGCGGAGGAAGGUGGGGACGACGUCAAGUCAUCAUGGCCCUUACGACCAGGGCUACACACGUGCUACAAUGGCGUAUACAAAGGGAAGCGAAGGUGCGAGCUGGGGCGGAUCUCAUAAAGUACGUCUAAGUUCGGAUUGGAGUCUGCAACUCGACUCCAUGAAGUCGGAAUCGCUAGUAAUCGUAGAUCAGAAUGCUACGGUGAAUACGUUCCCGGGCCUUGUACACACCGCCCGUCACACCAUGGGAGUGGGUUGCACCAGAAGUAGAUAGCUUAACCGCGAGGGGGGCGUUUACCACGGUGUGAUUCAUGACUGGGGUGAAGUCGUAACAAGGUAACCA
Molecule: ribosomal RNA, 773 nt
Filed under: uncultured Providencia sp.
Lineage: Bacteria; Pseudomonadati; Pseudomonadota; Gammaproteobacteria; Enterobacterales; Morganellaceae
Description: bacterial SSU rRNA
Rfam family: Bacterial small subunit ribosomal RNA
Source: RNAcentral